RNAcentral lists this unclassified non-coding RNA (272 nucleotides) under Hevea brasiliensis (rubber tree). The record is from RNAcentral. Lineage: Eukaryota; Viridiplantae; Streptophyta; Magnoliopsida; Malpighiales; Euphorbiaceae.
UCCCGCUAACAAUAGCAAUAAAAGCUACCGACACCGACUCUAUCUUAACGACCGGUAAAGCCCUCUCUCUAGGAUAUGGCACUUCACUGCUCGGAGAGGAAUGAAUUCGUCUCCAAAUCAUCUUUUCCUUUAAGAAAGAAGUCAAUUACGUUCGAGCUUUUUGGCAACUGAUUCAACUCAAGCAAUAGAAAGAAAAGCUAUCUCCUCUAAUCUCUAACUAUGCUGAGUUCAAUCAAGCUAAGAACUAGUCGACCUCCUUACUUAUUUACCGC